RNAcentral lists this ribosomal RNA (207 nucleotides) under uncultured Smithella sp. RNAcentral describes it as "partial 16S ribosomal RNA". It matches the Rfam family "Bacterial small subunit ribosomal RNA", at positions 568 to 774 of the family's 1533-position model. Lineage: Bacteria; Pseudomonadati; Thermodesulfobacteriota; Syntrophia; Syntrophales; Smithellaceae. The record is from RNAcentral.
CGUGUAGGCGGCUGGAUAAGUCAGAUGUGAAAGCCCUGGGCUUAACCCAGGAAGUGCAUUUGAAACUGUUCAGCUUGAGUAAGGGGGAGGAAAGUGGAAUUCCUGGUGUAGAGGUGAAAUUCGUAGAUAUCAGGAGGAACACCGGUGGCGAAGGCGACUUUCUGGCCCUAUACUGACGCUGAGACGCGAGAGCGUGGGUAGCAAACA